GAAAGAGGAAUUUUUUUCCGGCACAUCAUGUCUGCUAUAUUGUGCGGGAAGAGAUCGAAUUUGUUUGAGGAUUUUCAGUCGUCGUCGUCUGCGUCAACGCCGGUUUCGAAGAGGAUUCGCCGUAAUUUUUCUCCGGCGAGGUCUAAUUCUGAUUCCGAUCGUGUUUUGUGUGGUAAUUUGAUUGCAUCGUCGGCACUCGAUCAUCUUCUCAUGAUUUUCUCUGACACGGACAAGCAGUUGGUUGAGAGAGCACUUGAAGAAUCCGGUGAUGAUCUAGAUUCUGCUAUCAAACGCCUGAAUGAGCUCUGCUUGGGAUCUGGUGAUAAUCUGAGGCCUGUGGCAGGAAGCUCUGGUGCUACACAUGAGUUCAGCAGCCAGGUUUUUCCUCAAGGUGUGGCUACAACUAAUGGUGAGACCCCAUCUGCAGAGGAUUUAUCUUCUGCAGAAGUGGUGCAUUUGCAGGGUACAGAAUGGGUGGAUCUUUUUGUUGGAGAGAUGAUGAGUGCAUCAAACAUAGAUGAUGCUAAAGCGCGUGCUUCACGAGCUCUGGAGGCUUUUGAGAAGACCAUAUGUGCUCGUGCAACAGAGGCAGCCUGCCGUUUCCAGAAGGAGAAUAUGAUGCUCAAGCAGCAGUUAGAAGCUCUUGUACAAGAGAAUGCUAUUUUCAAGCGAGCAGUUGCCAUCCAGCAUGAGCGUCAAAAGGAAUUCGAGAAUAGAGGGAACGAGUUGAAUCAGCUGAAGCAGUCGGUGGCUCAGUACCAGGAGCAGCUUAGAACCCUUGAGGUCAAUAACUAUGCUCUCACGAUGCACCUCAAGCAAGCUCAACAAAGCAACAACUCCAUUCCAGGGCGUUUCAACCCCGAUGUCUUUUAGUAUGUGUCAUGUCCCUAUUGGCUGUGUAACAUACAUAGGUAGCAACAGUAGUAUCCUAUCGUCACAGUAGCAGCAAGUGUUUCCUAGAGAUGAAUGACGAUAUUAAGCUAGAACUUCUGUCUAUUGAUCAAAGUGCCCUUCUGCAGUUACUAGACAAAGGGUACUUUGUUCUGUUCAUACAAGUUUUUAUUUGUUUUUCUGCUGUUGUUUCAAUUAGAGUAUCCAAAGUUCAUACAGUUCUAUUCUUCUUCUUCUGCUUUUAAGAAGAUGUUCAACACAUGAUUGUUAUGCUUUAUUUGUUUC
This 1176-nucleotide unclassified non-coding RNA is filed under the name Hevea brasiliensis (rubber tree). Lineage: Eukaryota; Viridiplantae; Streptophyta; Magnoliopsida; Malpighiales; Euphorbiaceae. The record is from RNAcentral.